GAUGAACGCUGGCGGCGUGCCUAAUACAUGCAAGUCGAGCGAACAGACGAGGAGCUUGCUCCUCUGACGUUAGCGGCGGACGGGUGAGUAACACGUGGAUAACCUACCUAUAAGACUGGGAUAACUUCGGGAAACCGGAGCUAAUACCGGAUAAUAUAUUGAACCGCAUGGUUCAAUAGUGAAAGACGGAUUUGCUGUCACUUAUAGAUGGAUCCGCGCCGCAUUAGCUAGUUGGUAAGGUAACGGCUUACCAAGGCAACGAUGCGUAGCCGACCUGAGAGGGUGAUCGGUCACACUGGAACUGAGACACGGUCCAGACUCCUACGGGAGGCAGCAGUAGGGAAUCUUCCGCAAUGGGCGAAAGCCUGACGGAGCAACGCCGCGUGAGUGAUGAAGGUCUUCGGAUCGUAAAACUCUGUUAUUAGGGAAGAACAAAUGUGUAAGUAACUAUGCACGUCUUGACGGUACCUAAUCAGAAAGCCACGGCUAACUACGUG
RNAcentral lists this ribosomal RNA (497 nucleotides) under uncultured bacterium. RNAcentral describes it as "partial 16S ribosomal RNA". It matches the Rfam family "Bacterial small subunit ribosomal RNA", at positions 28 to 507 of the family's 1533-position model. The record is from RNAcentral.